This 1699-nucleotide long non-coding RNA is filed under the name Capsicum annuum. RNAcentral describes it as "long non-coding RNA (CANN_LNC000619)". Lineage: Eukaryota; Viridiplantae; Streptophyta; Magnoliopsida; Solanales; Solanaceae. The record is from RNAcentral.
AAGGGUCUCAACGUUCUUUUUCCCUCUUCGGUAAAUUUGCAGACUUCUUUCACCAUGGUUGGAGUUUGCUUCCCCAUUCUUGUGUCAUGGCUAUGAAAAUCACAUGAACAAAUUUGACCCCAAUUUCGAAUUUCAAACGGAUCUCAUCUUUUAAAUUCCCGCCUAAAGAAACCCCAAGAACCCUAGUUUUCCAUCUAUAAAUACCACGAGAUCAGUGAGCCUUGGAAGCAGUGGAAAAAAGCGACAAAUUCUAAACUACAAUACAAAGCAAAAAAAAAACUUUUCUCCUAAAGCGUCCAGUCUUUGAGUUUCAAUGUUCUUUGCACUUUCGAGUUUGAAAUCGUAAAAUCCAGUGUUCGGGUUCGUGAUCCAAAGUUGUCCAGUUCACUUCCUUGCAGCAGCCUUGAGAGGCUUUAGUCGCUACUUUACUCCCUCAAGCUCUAACUAUUUACUUACAUUUUCUGAGGAAAGUUGUUGUCUCUCUUUUUUCUGUCAAACGGAGGUGUUUUAGGGUCUUCUAAAUUUGUUCGAGAGAUCGAAUAGACUCGACGUUGACAAUCUUAGUUCACUGCUCCACAAGAGGUAAAUCCCAAUUUUCUUCUCUCUGCUAGUAGGUAACUAUGUACUAAAUAUUAAAGCUGUGUUUGGAGUAUGUGCCUAUAUGAAACAGAAUUUAAUUGAUGAGUUAUAUUAAAACAACAUUGCAGUCCUUUGUUUGCACCCAAAUAUGAUGUUAAAGUUGUUCUUUUAGAAAUCGACAUGUUAGUCUUUAUCUACACCCAUUAUGCUAUUUGUUGAACGACUUUAUUGUGUGUUUGCGGAGGAUGUAGAAUAUUGAAUUCCCCUGUUUAAGUAGGUAAAAGGAUGACUUAAAAUUUUCUUUUGUUUCAAAAUAGGUAACUUAGGAAUAAGUUUUCAAAUGUUGCCACAUAUAAUUUAUAACUAGCUAGGGAAGAUACUUGUGAUCUCGUGAGUAUUAUGACUUUGUGCCCUUCCCUACGUUUCUGUUUAUUAAACAUUUUCAAUGCUAGCAGAUCCCAGCUUACUUGAAUUUCUUUUUUUUUUUUUUUUCUAAAACGAAGUUCUCACAUCGUAAGACUAAUACCUUGGGGCGUUAACUAGCUUGUGGCUUAGUGUAAUGAAGCAUGUACACUGGGAAUAUGAACAUUUUAAAUGGGUGUGAAAAUUUGCAUACAAAUCAAUAUUUGUUAAUUUUUUAACCUUUCUUUCUAUGGAAAAUCUUUGUUUGUUGAAUACACUGGUGCGUUGUAGCAUGGUCUAUUUUUGUAUGGCUUAUUUUUGCUAUAAUUUAAAUGAUUAUGUAAUUUUAUUGCAAGUUCUUUCAUUGAUUUUUCUAUACACUUUUGGAGAAUCAGAUUUCUCUUUUCUAAUUCUUAUCUUUCUUUCCUUUUGCAUAUACACUUGAAGCAACAAUUGGGAGUCUCAAAGCUACACUCUCUUGCAUGCAUCGAGUCUCAAUAUGAGACCCCACGCUACCUCUCAACCGAUCAAGGAGUCAAAUUUCUUAUUCCUUAAACUAAACCCACUAACAAUCAAUUCUCUCUUUCCCCUAUUCCAAGCAUUAUCCUUUCCUGUAUAUGCAUGCUAUUACUUUUGUUUUAACAUUUCGUUCUAUUAUUAUGUGAAAUUUGUGCUUUGUUUGCUCUCAUUUGGAUUAGUGAAGACCAUUUAGUAUGAC